This is a long non-coding RNA of Lycium ferocissimum, 400 nucleotides long. RefSeq lists it as uncharacterized. Lineage: Eukaryota; Viridiplantae; Streptophyta; Magnoliopsida; Solanales; Solanaceae. The transcript has 2 exons. The record is from RefSeq and is a predicted model, not a curated record.
AAUAUAGCAAUAUGAGUGUCCUUAGAUUCGUAUUCUAACAUAGAUCGCAUAUUUUAUAGAUUUUGAUCGUUCAAAGGCUCUACACAAAGGGAAGACAUUAGUUUGAUUGUUCGUGGCACCCGCUCGGCAUUGAGAAUACGAUCCAGGCUCCAGUUCUACACCUCGUGGCUGAUACGCGAGGGUGACGUCUUUCAGUAAUUUAGGGUGAGCUACUUGGUCAUCCGUGGCCCCUGAAGGACCUCCUCUAUUUAUUUCUGUUUUUGUAUUGGACAGAAAAUAUGUAGCCUUCGGGUAUUUUCCGACUUAUAUUCCGUACUAUGUUAGCGCUCUUGUACCCUUUGACCAGAUUUUGGGGUUGUCGUGACAUUUCUAGUUAUGAUAAGUAUUUAAGACUUGAUAA